This 919-nucleotide ribosomal RNA is filed under the name uncultured Tepidisphaeraceae bacterium. Its description in RNAcentral is "bacterial SSU rRNA". It matches the Rfam family "Bacterial small subunit ribosomal RNA", at positions 221 to 1153 of the family's 1533-position model. The record is from RNAcentral. Lineage: Bacteria; Pseudomonadati; Planctomycetota; Phycisphaerae; Tepidisphaerales; Tepidisphaeraceae.
UGGGAGCAGGCGAUAUCGUAUCAGGUAGUUGGUGGGGUAACGGCCCACCAAGCCGACGACGCGUAGCUGGUCUGAGAGGACGGCCAGCCACAUCGGGACUGAGACACUGCCCGGACUCCUACGGGGGCUGCAGUAACGAAUCUUCCACAAUGCACGAAAGUGUGAUGGAGCGACGCCGCGUGUAGGAUGAAGUCCUUCGGGAUGUAAACUACUGUCAGGGGAAAGAAAGUUCUGAUCUACCCCAGAGGAAGAGGCGGCUAACUCUGUGCCAGCAGCCGCGGUAAUACAGAGGCCUCGAGCGUUAGGCGGAAUCACUGGGCUUAAAGCGUGUGUAGGCGGACUUCUAAGUACCUUGUGAAAUCCCACAGCUUAACUGUGGAACUGCUUGGUAUACUGGUUGUCUUGAGGUACUAGGGGCGAGCGGAACAAGUGGUGGAGCGGUGAAAUGCGUAGAUAUCACUUGGAACGCCAACGGUGAAAACAGCUCGCUGGGGGUAUCCUGACGCUGAGACACGAAAGCCAGGGGAGCAAACGGGAUUAGAUACCCCGGUAGUCCUGGCCCUAAACGAUGUCGACUAGAUCGUGGUGGCUCUGACGCCUUCACGGUCGAAGCAAAAGUGCUAAGUCGACCGCCUGGGAAGUACGGUCGCAAGGCUAAAACUCAAAGGAAUUGACGGGGGCUCACACAAGCGGUGGAGCAUGUGGUUUAAUUCGAAGCAACGCGCAGAACCUUACCUGGGCUUGACAUGCUAGGAUUAUCUCUAUGAAAGUAGAGUAGGCCCUUCGGGGUACAACUAGUACAGGUGCUGCAUGGCUGUCGUCAGCUCGUGUCGUGAGAUGUCGGGUUAAGUCCCUUAACGAGCGAAACCUUUGCCCUUAGUUACCAGCGCGUUAUGGCGGGGACUCUAAGGGGACUGCC